GACUGGAUAAACGCUGAAAGCAUCUAAGCGUGAAGCCAACCUCAAGAUGAGAUUUCCCAUAGCGUAAGCUAGUAAGACUCCUGGAAGAACACCAGGUUGAUAGGUCAGAGAUGUAAGCAUGGCAACAUGUUAAGUUGACUGAUACUAAUAAGUCGAGGGCUUGACCAAAUAA
Molecule: ribosomal RNA, 172 nt
Filed under: Clostridium botulinum
Lineage: Bacteria; Bacillati; Bacillota; Clostridia; Eubacteriales; Clostridiaceae
Description: partial 23S ribosomal RNA
Rfam family: Bacterial large subunit ribosomal RNA
Source: RNAcentral